Molecule: ribosomal RNA, 496 nt
Filed under: uncultured bacterium
Lineage: Bacteria
Description: partial 16S ribosomal RNA
Rfam family: Bacterial small subunit ribosomal RNA
Source: RNAcentral
GAUGAACGCUGGCGGCGUGCCUAAUACAUGCAAGUCGAGCGAACGGACGAGAAGCUUGCUUCUCUGAUGUUAGCGGCGGACGGGUGAGUAACACGUGGAUAACCUACCUAUAAGACUGGGAUAACUUCGGGAAACCGGAGCUAAUACCGGAUAAUAUUUUGAACCGCAUGGUUCAAAAGUGAAAGACGGUCUUGCUGUCACUUAUAGAUGGAUCCGCGCUGCAUUAGCUAGUUGGUAAGGUAACGGCUUACCAAGGCAACGAUGCAUAGCCGACCUGAGAGGGGGACGGCCAAACUGGAACUGAGGAACGGUCCAGGCUCCUAAGGGAGGCCGGAGUAGGGAAUCUUCCGGAAUUGGCGGAAGCCUGACGGAGCAAAGCCGGGUGGGUGAUGAAGGUCUUCGGAUCGGAAAAAUCUGUUAUUAGGGAAGAACAUAUGUGUAAGUAACUGUGCACAUCUUGACGGUACCUAAUCAGAAAGCCACGGCUAACUACGUG